Molecule: ribosomal RNA, 455 nt
Filed under: uncultured Anaerolineaceae bacterium
Lineage: Bacteria; Bacillati; Chloroflexota; Anaerolineae; Anaerolineales; Anaerolineaceae
Description: bacterial SSU rRNA
Rfam family: Bacterial small subunit ribosomal RNA
Source: RNAcentral
GACGGGGACCCGCACAAGCAGCGGAGCGUGUGGUUUAAUUCGUUGCUACACGAAGAACCUUACCUGGGUUUGACAUAUAGGUUGUAGGGAACUGAAAGGGACCGACCCUUCGGGGAGCCUAUACAGGUGUUGCAUGGCUGUCGUCAGCUCGUGUCGUGAGAUGUUCGGUUAAGUCCGCUAACGAGCGCAACCCUCGUCGUAUGUUAUAUGUGUCAUACGAGACUGCCGGUAAAAGCCGGAGGAAGGUGAGGAUGAUGUCAAGUCAGCAUGACCUUUAUAUCCAGGGCUACACACACGCUACAAUGGUCUGUACAAUGGGUAGCCAAGCCGCGAGGCGGAGCCAAUCCUGAAAGCAGGCCUCAGUUCAGAUUGCAGUCUGCAACUCGACUGCAUGAAGCCGGAGUUGCUAGUAACCGCAGGUCAGCAAUACUGCGGUGAAUACGUUCCCGGGUCUU